UAGGGAAUAUUGCGCAAUGGGCGAAAGCCUGACGCAGCAACGCCGCGUGAGUGAUGAAGGCCUUCGGGUCGUAAAGCUCUGUCGGAGGGAACGAAUGCUCUUGGAGUUAACAGCUUCAGGAGGUGACGGUACCCUCAAAGGAAGCACCGGCUAACUCUGUGCCAGCAGCCGCGGUAAUACGUAGGGACCAAGCGUUGUUCGGAUUUACUGGGCGUAAAGGGCGCGUAGGCGGCAUGACAAGUCACUUGUGAAAUCUCUGGGCUUAACCCAGAACGGCCAAGUGAUACUGUCGCGCUAGAGUGCAGAAGGGGCAAUCGGAAUUCUUGGUGUAGCGGUGAAAUGCGUAGAUAUCAAGAGGAACACCUGAGGUGAAGACGGGUUAGCUGGGCUGACACUGACGCUGAGGCGCGAAAGCGUGGGGAGCAAACAGGAUUAGAUACCCCCGUAGUCCCUGAGCGGGCUGGCAAGGCGCAU
This 474-nucleotide ribosomal RNA is filed under the name uncultured bacterium. RNAcentral's name for it is "bacterial SSU rRNA". It matches the Rfam family "Bacterial small subunit ribosomal RNA", at positions 355 to 825 of the family's 1533-position model. The record is from RNAcentral.